Long non-coding RNA from Cephus cinctus (wheat stem sawfly), 3974 nucleotides. RefSeq lists it as uncharacterized. Lineage: Eukaryota; Metazoa; Arthropoda; Insecta; Hymenoptera; Cephidae. The transcript has 8 exons. The record is from RefSeq and is a predicted model, not a curated record.
GUACAGGCCUGCUGAUCUGCGUCGCGGCCAUGACAGUUACUACAGACGUCAGCAGUCACUAGUCAAAGAAAAUUCUUACGGCUUACGUAUAAACGUGGACAAAGGUGUUUCAAGAUAUCUUCAACGAUAAUCCUAUGGAUAUUACGAUAAUAACGUUUAAUUGAUACGUUUCCCAGAAGGCCACACGAUAAGUGCAUCCAAUUAGUAAACUAAGAAGAUCCUAACAACGUAGUGAAAAAUCUUUAACAAUGGAAUAUCACAAUAUUCCCAGCAUAUAAUCUCAAACCAAGCCGCUACCGAAUGCAGUGAACGGAAAGCCAAUGGACCAGACGAAAUUUCAAUAUUCUUCAAUCCCGAUACCAGAAGCCGUUACGACACACAAGACUAUUUUAAGGAGAGAUCUUCGCGUUGAGAACAGUGGACGAAGGAUCAGUGACUCAGCAAAAUGGCGUAGACUCCACACUCCUUCCUACCCUCUUCUGUCCUUUUACAUUCUUUUCUUUUUUCUAUAUACUGUCAAAAUCAACUCGCCGACAUCAUCCCGGUCUCCCGUCCGUGAUCCCUGAGGAUAUCGUGACAAGGGUGCAGGGGGACGUCGGGGUGCUCAGACAAGGUGGAUAGGGGGAGUCGGGGAAGGAGGAAGAAGGAUGAGAAUGACGGGCAUUAUAACUACGUUAUAAACGCGAGUAUAAAAAUCAAAUUUGCGGCGUCUCUAUACGCCGCCCGGAUAAGAUAUUAUUCCACCCUAUUGGAAGCAGCGUUCUCCAGUCGCUUCCAUCCCCCCGUAGCUCAACCCCUUAAAAUAAUCUAUUUGCUCGGAUAUUGCUUUCGUCGGGAAGAUUUUUUAAGCCUUCCUCAAUGCUAUGUCCCUACGUUUCAUUCGAUAUAACGGGUGAUCCGUACUAGCUCGUAAAAGUCAUCGUUAGCGACAGCCAAGGUAGGAGUAGGUGUUUUAUUGACGUAUCUUCGCCACGUGAGAGAAUCUCGUUCAGGACUUCGCGCCUUGUCUGGCAGAUUAAUAGGAAGUUGGAUGGAAUCGGCUGGCGAAUUUGUAAACGGGAUAUUUUCAAGUUGGUACUUUUGUAUGUUGUUCAAUUUUUAUUAAUUAAAGUUGGCAUGCUGUUACGUAUAGCUGGGUAUGGUUAGGGGUUUGAGUGUAUAUGAUAUGUAUAUAAGUAAGGGAAGCUAUGUGCUCAUAUACUGAACCUUCAAUCCUCAGGAAAAUCCAGUUGGGAAUUGCAGUUUUUAGGACUGACGGAGUUGCAGAAAUAAUGGAACUACGUCACGAAGGAAUGUAAACGUAACGUGCAACAUACUUGGAACAGUUAUGCACAGCUUACGCGGACCGAUCCAUCAUGCAAGAACAUGGCGGACUAUUUGUCAUGCGAGUCCCGUCCCGCACUUUUUCCAAUGGGCCACUUCGCUCUAUCUGCAGCCUGGACGUUCCCGAUUAACCAUUCUACGUCGACUAUUUUGUUCAUGCCCGCAUAUAAUAUCAUCGAUUUGCAUAUAUCUAGGUAUACUUCUGCGUCACUCUGUACCGAAUGGAUAAUUCGAGGGCUUCGGAGUCCAAGGGGCUCAAUGAAAUUCAUCAUUAUUUUAUUCACUUGAUUGUACCUAUACUUCAUUCGGAAUAGCUUUUUGGACGUGUAUUAUUGAUGUAUCAUUAUAGAUAAUUUUCAUGCUUUAUUUUCGUCCUGUGAUAUCAGCUAUGUAUAUGUGUGUUUGUGGGUCAUGUGUGUCAUAUAUCAGUGUGAUGCGGAAUAGAUGCAAUUAAAUGAAUUUAAACAAUAUGAUGCAGCCGCUUAUGCAAAUGCAGUUACUCGACCCUGUUGAGGUACGACACUGCGCAAUUGUAUAUUUUGAUAUUUAUAUGUGAUAUACGUCAGGAUUUAUCGGGUGUUUUGAAAAUGAGUUUGAUAACAAGAUAUUCGUUUCAUUAUAUCAAUUUUUAGAUAUACUGUUUUAGUAGUGACUUGUAGAGUAUGAAGACAUGAGACAAAAUUAUUUAGUAUGCAGUGGAUCUGCAAUUGAUCAAUCAGAAGUAUAAAUAGCAUAGCUAAUGAAACUGUAUGAUAUAGUCUGGGUAUACUUUGGAAAUGUGUUACUAAAAUGUAGCAUAGGUAAAGGUUCGUUCUACGCUAUUGCAUUGUUGGAAGGUGCGCAAAUGACGUAAGACAUAUCCUCCAGUAUCGUGUUUGUAUUGCCAGAUAAAAGACGGACGAGGCAGACAAGGGAGCUAUAGCUGUGCCAAGGAAGACUUUGGACUGGUACAGGGUGCGUCAACGAUGCUCCGAAGUAAGAAAAGUUUGUAAACACAGACCGGCCUGCACUUAGGAGUGAAUAGAUUUGAGGGCAUCGUUGACGAACCCUGCACAAAUUGUAAUUGACAAAUUGGUCGCGGGAGGUCAGCGCUUGUUUAUCGGUACUCGGGCGGGAGGGGGUAGUCACUGGGACGCGGCAGAAUUUAUUAGCCUGGCCUUUAGUCUUCCGAGAGCCGAUCUCCUAUUUCGGGAUCUUUGACGCCGCGAACUUCCGUUCUUCCUUUCUUCCCCUGUCUUCUUCUCAUUAAGGCUUUUCUUCAUCUUCCUCUCGUCUGUCUGCUGAGGUAUAUUCACUUGAUUAUUUACUUUUCUCUCUCUCUUGCUCUGGGCCGACUUCUCUGCCUCUGUCUUUCUUUCUUUGUGUUACCUGUCUUCCACGUUUUUUCCGCUGGGCUAUACCUCAUUCGCGAUAUCACUUUGUUAUCACAGUCAGCUCUAUUAAGUCAGCAACAUAACUCUCUUGUUUGUCAAAGUCUGAACUCUCGUGUCUCAUUGCCCUAUAUCAUCUUUUUCUCGAGGUUCUCUCCCUCGGACCUUCAGCCUAUUUCACUCCGUUUCCCCCUGUACCCCUUACCGCCACUUCCGAAACCGCGUAACACCGCGAGUCCAUUUAAACAACCGCACCGCAGUCAUUCGGUGUCGCGCGCGAAAAUCCGCGAAUUUAGCCACAGACGUAACAAGUGAACAAUUAGCCCGCAUCCGAAAUACGCUUAGUGCAAAGACAAGUGCCAAGAUCCGAAUCCUCGAGUCGUCGCCUGAAUGGACCACGAGUACCGAAGAGGAUGGAGACUGGUUCUACGGAUGGACUGCAGGCAAAACCAUUGAGAAGACGGAGAGUCCCGUGAUACCUCAACUACACCCAGGGGCACAAUCGUCAAUUCCUACUUGAUCCGAAACAGCGUCUGAUAAAUGAAUGAAGAGGAUCGUCUUCACUUCGAGACCUGGUCCGAAGAGCUUUGCAGAAAAUCAAGUCGACUUGAUUUGAAGGGACCAGUACAUCAGUGUAUAGCUGAAUAAAUGGUCCAGCCCAGUCGACCAGGUCCAUAUUUCUUUGAUCCCAAAUCAUUCUACCAGCUACCAUGGUUACUGUGGGUUUCAUGCAGGACCAGAAAUCCCGAAACAGUCAAAAUAUUUCAUCGUCAUCCGAUAUCUAUGGAUCUUGGCGGUAAAACAAGACGAGAAAACUCUGAGGCGAUCUACUCGGAACAAGAUAUCCGACGAUUACGUAGAUAAGAGAUUCCUCUUGCCCCGUGGAUCGUGACUUUCGAUCUGGACGAGAGGGGCGAUUGCGUUUCACGAGAUCGCAUGGAAAUUUCUAAGACUCGAAUCACCGGAUGCCCUUCCGAACCGGAAGUCCAAAGGAAUGGAAAAUUCUCGCUUAACAACUGCGACGAGCGUCCGUGACGGUGGCCCGUCUAUGUAUAUCGAACGAAGGAGAUAACGCUCCUCUUUACCUGGAUGCGCUGUAAAGAAUGAGUAUACCUCCGAGUGAACAAAGAUACUCGUGGAAUUGUCUGACUCGGUGAUACUCCAGACACGUCACCAUACAAGAGAACGAUCUAAUUUUCGUGUGAGCUCAGGCACCAGCACCAGCAGCAGCAGCAGCAGCUUUAUUUGAACGUCCUUCUCAGGAACGAGUGGUGGAAGAAA